GCAUACUAUUGUAUUUCUUCUUCUAGUACGGCAAUGCCUGCAAAGCCUCUUGAUGCCAAGGCUCAGAAUUGGUACACCAUCACUUCUGGUGCUUUCUGUCUGUCAAACUGAGUCACAAGAUCAACCCAGACUUAAGGGUAAUAUUCAUGCGAAAUGAGAUUUUAUCCUGAAGCUAAUGAAGUACUCAUUUAGAACACAAGAAGUUGGACCAUGAACAAUUGGACCUGAGGUAAAAUGUGAUUGUAUAAAAACAGAAAAGUCUAUCUGAAGAACAUUCUGGAAAAUUAUCAAGAACUUUUGACAUGGAGGGUGAGCUGUGGAAAAGGGAAUAGCCAACUACGUAAGACAACUGUUAAUCAAGAUAAA
Long non-coding RNA from Neogale vison (American mink), 366 nucleotides. RefSeq lists it as uncharacterized. The record is from RefSeq and is a predicted model, not a curated record. Lineage: Eukaryota; Metazoa; Chordata; Mammalia; Carnivora; Mustelidae. The transcript has 3 exons.